CCUCUCCUUGCUACGCCCGCCACCGGAUUCAAACAUGGGAGAAGGUGGAGAAGAGAAAUCAUUCAAUUUCCUACAGGUUUUGCUCGAGGGCAGCAUAGCUG
Long non-coding RNA from Panicum hallii, 101 nucleotides. RefSeq lists it as uncharacterized. NCBI's taxonomy places the organism in Eukaryota, Viridiplantae, Streptophyta, Magnoliopsida, Poales, Poaceae. The transcript is spliced from 3 exons. The record is from RefSeq and is a predicted model, not a curated record.